This 441-nucleotide ribosomal RNA is filed under the name uncultured bacterium. RNAcentral describes it as "partial 16S ribosomal RNA". It matches the Rfam family "Bacterial small subunit ribosomal RNA", at positions 339 to 795 of the family's 1533-position model. The record is from RNAcentral.
CUACGGGAGGCACCAGUGGGGAAUAUUGCACAAUGGACGAAAGUCUGAUGCAGCGAUUCUGCGUGGAGGAUGAAGCAUUACGGUGUGUAAACUCCUUUUUUGGUAGAAGACGAAUGACGGUAUACCAAGAAUAAGGGACGGCUAACUAUGUGCCAGCAGCCGCGGUAAUACAAUAGGUCCCAAGCGUUAUCCGGAUUUACUGGGCGUAAAGUGUCCGUAGCCUGAUACGUAAGUCUGUUUUCAAAUACUAUGGCUCAACCAUAGAGAGGGAAUAGAUACUGCGUAUCUGGAAGUUAAUGGGGGUUAGUGGAAUUUCAGGUGGAGCGGUGAAAUGCGUUGAUAUCUGAAAGAACGCCAAAAGCGAAAGCAGCUAACUACAUUAAACUUGACGGUAAGGGACGAAAGCUUGGGGAGCGAACGGGAUUAGAUACCCCAGUAGUC